Molecule: long non-coding RNA, 8775 nt
Filed under: Ananas comosus (pineapple)
Lineage: Eukaryota; Viridiplantae; Streptophyta; Magnoliopsida; Poales; Bromeliaceae
Description: long non-coding RNA (ACOM_LNC037681)
Source: RNAcentral
CGCCCAAGGCUAAACAACAGGAUCAUGUACAACAAGUUCCCAGGAAAUCAACUUGAAUACAUACAUGACCAAAACAAUAGCGAGGGCACAACCAGUGCCGAACACUACAAGAGCAAGCAUCACAAGUGUAAACAAGUGAAUAAAAGAGAGAUAUAGCUAUCUAUUACCUCACAUUUGACAUUCAACAUUUACCUCCAUUCAACUUUUAAUACAACUUGAUUACAUUUAAGCUUCCAAAAUGAAUACAUAAUCAUAUCACAUAUAUAUAAUGCUAGCUAUCCAAAAUACAUCAUGUCAUCUAUAACCAUGCACACGAGGGUGCUCUAGUACAAUAGGAAAGCUCUACUAGCUAGCUAGGGCGCUACGCCCUUACCGCGAUCACCUGUCGGCCCGCUCACGUGUGUACCUGUACCCCAAAAUCACACGGGGUGAGAACUAUAUAAAUAUAGUUCCCAGUGGGUUCGGCCGCCGACUCCGCCGAUCUUCCCACUAGGUCUAAGCUGGCACAAAUAGAUAGAUAGAGAGAUAGAUAGAUAUUGAACUGCAACUAUGAUCUAUUGUGCCAUCAAAUGCAAAGAAUGCAUGCAACAUCAUUUAUCCUGCUAGUAUGCUUUAACAAUGAAAUAUACACAACUACAACAUAGUUAUGCAGUGUACUAUGUCUAAUCAUGGUAUGAAUGCGGAUCCACUUAUGCAAUUCAUGUCUUUAUCCAAUCCACUAGGCUACCCCGCCCUUGUCUCAAAUCACAUAGGUGAAGGACUACCCCGCCCUUGUUUCACCCGUCCCACAACUCUAACACUAUAGGUAAGGAGCUACCCCGCUCUUACCCGACUCAGAUCUCAAGUCCUAUAGGUGAAGAGCUACCCCGCUCCUCGCCUAACUCAUGACUCAAAUGCCUAAGGGCAAGAGCUACCCCGCUCUUCGCCCCGACUCUAACUCAAACUCAUAGGUCAAGAGCUACCCCGCUCGUAGGUAAAGAGCUACCCCGCUCAUAGGUAAAGAGCUACCCCGCUCAUAGGUAAAGAGCUACCCCGCUCAUAGGUAAGGAGCUACCCCGCUCAAAUCUCACAGGUGAAGGGCUGCCCCGCCCUCCGCCCGACUCACUUCCCAGUCCAAUGGGUGGGGAGCUACCCCGCUCGUAUUCCACCCGAUGAGCUACCCCGCUCGUGAGCUACCCCGCUCGUGUGACAACUGAGGAUACCCUGUCAACUAGGUUAACCAUCACUUGAUAAUCCACCUAUCCCUAGGUCCAUGUCAAGUGUUUCAACCAUAUCAAAUCUCAAUGGCACUCACCUAGGUCUAAGCAACUCUAGGUUCCACAACACUAGGUUUAAUGUCAACCUAUGUUUAACAACAUUAUAUUAAUGCCACUCGAUCUAUCCUAGGUUCACGACACUAGGUUUAGAUGCCACAUAAUCUCCAUAAUUAACAAUAGGUUAACAUUCAUUUCAUCUAGCAUAUAUGUUCUAUAAGGCCAACAUGUAUCAUAAUGCUAAUAUGCCAUUAUCAACUAGCAUGCAAUCCAUUCAUAAUGCUACAUGCAUACAAUCUCCAUCACACUAGUUCACAUGUCACUAGUUUCAUUAUCAAGUCCAAGUUCUUUAUUCUCUUAUCAUCAUAGGAUCUCAUGUCUCAACCUUAAUCAUCAUGCAUUCUAGAUUUAGGUGUCAAGUCUAUAAUACUACACAACUAGACAUGCAUUCGAGGAAAGUAGAAAUGUAACUAUACAUAUAUCCUAUAAUGCAUAAGAACCAUAUAUAUGAAAUAUGAUCAACUAUUUUACUCGGACAUAGAAGGAAGCCCGAUUGCUUCGGAUAGACACCCCCCACCUUUUAUAGCGUUCCGAUUGCUCGUCGUCACUUGCAAUCGGCCUCCCGCGGCACACGCCGCUCGGCUUGACCCAAUCCGCGCGCGACCACCAAACGACCUCCGAUCCGCGAUCCGAAAAUUAAAGGUCUUCGGUUUAUUGUCACGAUGCUUCAAAUCCGUUUCUACGAUGUUACGACGUCGCCUCGGCCCUCCAGGCGGAAACGAAGCCUAAACGUCCGUUUCUUUAAUAACUUCGCACUGGCUCGACGAAUCGCCGAACCGUCGCUUCCAACGCGUUCAGUGACCUAUCAAUUAGGUUUCCAGAGGGUCAAAUUAGAUCAAACCCUCAUAUUUUCAAAAAUUGCAUUUCGAGCCCUAGGUUUAUAACUAGGCAAGAAUUAACUAAAUUGAUCCUAGAUUCUAGCAAUAAUCAUCUAUUUAGCAUGCUAGAAUUCCAUUAAAACCAUUUUUAGAGCAUAAGGAUCAAUCCUUAGAGUUCUACCAUUAAAGGGUUUUGAAGCUUACCUCUCAAGCAAGCUCCAAUGGAGAGGAAGAAGAUGAAGUUGAUGAAGAUCAACUUCCAAGCUUGCUUCUCCACCAAAUCCAUCUAUUUUUGGGAGAGAUCUAGAGAGAGAAAGGGAAGUGUUCUCUCUCCCUUUCCAUGUAUGCGUGUGUGUUGUGUGUGUGCGGGUUGUGUACGCACGGUUGAGGGAGAAGAAGAAGGGAUUAAGUCCCUUUUACACUUUAGUCCCUCAACAAUUACACUAUUCACUCUAGGCAGCUCGAAAUCUGAUAUCUUUCGCCGGAGCUCCCUGAAUGUCCGUUUGAGCUCAAAUUUGACAGUCAUGUUCGGUUUAACGUACUGAACAAGAAUAUAUCUUAAGUUUUCAGUUUCGACCCCGUUUGGUCACCGAAAACUGUGCCGAACUGCAAUCUUUAUCAGAUGGCUUUCGGAUUUUAUUUCUCACUCUACGUGUGUCAGAAAAAUAUGAAACCUUAAAUCUAGCCUCAUAAAAAUAUUUCUGACUUGUCCUCCAAUUUUCAUAAUUUUCUGAGACUGUACAUUUUCUGCUAAUUUAUCUGCCCCGUUUCCCACAGAAAAUUCUAAAUCUUCUGUUUUCGCUCCGAUUUCAGCACAGGUCAUUCCCAACCUAUAUUUCACUUCUCUAAAUCCAAUAAAAAUAGUAUCUCAUACUAUUUUUUAUUUAUUUCUAUUUUUUUAUAUUUAAAUCCGAUAUAUUACAUUACACCGCAACCUUACCGGAACCAUUCAAAUGGCUCUCCAACCAAAUGGACACCGUAACCUCAUGAUUUUAGAAGUCCGGUACCUUACAUUCUCCCCUCCUUAAAAGGAGUUUCGUCCUCGAAACUAACUCACUUCAAACCCAAUUCACACCUCAACUCGACGUAUCGAGCGACAUAGGGUUCCAAUGCACUUUUAUACUCCGGGGUGGCCUUUCACUCAUUGGAAUCAUCCAAAGGCCCACCACAGAGGAUGUGAGACUAGAUUCACUCACUUUUGCUAAGCGUAGCUCCGAAAGUGCAUUACGAGUUUCCGUCAUUCUUGGUGGUAGCGCAAGUCGAAGCUCAACAACUCUACGCGCUCCAACACCAUUCACCAUUUGGCAUGCAAGAACUCUUCUUUGCAUUCACUUUCCCCCUCGGGGCAUUCCGAUUCGAUCACCAACAUUGCUCAAAAGCAAUAUCAUGGGUGCUUCAUCCAAUCGCGGGUGAUCUAACCACAUUCGGACCUUGCUCUACUGCGAGAUGGCCUACCCCGGCAUAUCUCGACUUCCAAUCCAUAAAAGAGCGUUAUCUUCAAGUUCUCCAACAUAACCCAGCCUGCCUGGGCAAGUUUCACACUCAGGGACCGGUCUCUCUUGCCAGGGGACCGGUUGCCCCGGGCUGCGCAACCCUCAGCCUCGGGGCAACCGGUCCCUCCUUCCUGGGACCGGUCCCCGAGAGCAAGCUUGCGCAGACAACGUUCGGGAACCGGUCCCUCCCUCCUGGGACCGGUCCCCGAGAGCAAAUCUGCCAAGUGCAGAUUCAUGCACCAUUUGCUCUCGCGGACUCCAUUCCAAAGCACUUUUGGUGCAUUUGACUUCUUCGGCUUUUCCGAAGCACUCCCACUCGACAAUUUGUCGACUUUGAGCGAAAUCCAACUCUCGUAUUUCGAGAAUUCACUUCCUUACUCCAACUCAUCAUUGGGCGAAAUUCUCAUUGGAGAAUUCGCACACACUCCAACCAGGAGUAACCACGACCCAAACCACUUCAAAUCCUGAGGUUGGGCUACAACUGCACUCUCAGUGUAUCCUCGAUCCCAUGAUCUAUCACGUGGAAGUCCACGUUCUCGGGUCUAAGCUCUGACUACCGUCCUGACCAUAACUCUGCCCUACCCCGGGGUCGCUGUCACCCACAGCUGACUGCGCCUGUCCAUAAGGUCCAGGCUCCACAGUCCACGAGUGGUCCAGGCACGGAUCGUCCUCAAGCAAUACCCGCAACCGUCGUCUCACACGACACGCUCACCCGAGCAACACACGUCACUAUAGCGUCACACACUACGCCCAGCAAUAGGCAACACUGCCUAUACACACCGGUCAACCACCGAUCUACUUUGGUAGGCGACACAUCAUCUCAACUCAUGCAUGCAUAGGUAAUUAUACCGACUCAUAUCCUGGUCCCUACUAUACUUGUGCAUUAGUAGUAAAUGAGUAUAAGCUAAAUGCAUGCAACGCCUAACUCAAUGUCAUGCAGGAGUAUAUGUAUAUGCCUCAAACAAAUCAUACCUGCCAUGACGUCGCGUGCCUCAAACUCGGCAGGUUCCUCGACUUAAGCGGCGAACACCCGGCCACUCGGAGCCGACCGGGUCGCCUCGAGCUGACGCGGCGCCCUCGCAGGUCCCGCGGAUACGGUAGUAGGCGUAACCCCGCAAAACUGCCUCGGAGUCACUGGGGCGGAUGCAAUAGACGGGACAGGCGGCGAUCCCUCUGGACACUGACGGCUCAUAUGCCCCGCCUGACCACACCUGAAACAUCGCCCCGCCCGAUGCUCACAAUUUCCUGCGCGAUGCUCCCCACCAUAGAUCACACAUCGCACAGCUCCCUGGCUCUCGAACUGUCUCCUCGGAUGCUUCGGGGGCUUCUUGGAACUAGACUGUCCCCCCGAGCUACCGCCAGGUCGUUUCUUCCCCUUGUCUUUCUCGAACACCUCGCGCUCCUCUCGCACGUGGGCAUCACCAUGCUCCGCCCACAAUGCUCGAUCAAAAACCUCGGCAAAAGUCGUGAGCUUAAACAGCUGCACCGCUUUAUAUAUCCACGGCCGAAGUCCCCGCAAAAACCACUCGGCUCGAUCUGCGUCAUCCUUAACAACAUCUGGGACGCAGUCUAUGAUAUGGGAGAACUCCUGCUCGUAGUCCGCCACGGAACGAUCCCCCUGUCUCAGUUUGCGGAACUUCUCCUUUAACUUCCGCUUCUCGGUGUCGGGGAAGUAAUUUCCAAACAUCUCCCUCUUGAACUCCUCCCAGAGCAUGGGUUGAAGGUCAGAGGGUCGAUCCCGCUUCAACCGCUUCCACCACACCUUCGCCGCUUUUCCAAGGCAAUGGGUGGCGAGAUACACCUUGUCUUUCUCGGAGGUAUAGAGAUCCUCAAAAAGUGUCUCCAUUGAGUCAAUCCAUGACUCCACCAUCAACGGCUCCACUUUCUCCCCUUCAAAGAUUGGUGGGUUGAACUUCUUGAGUCUGAUAAGAGCCGUCAACGAGCGCUCUCGCUCCAUCUCCUCGGCCGCCACAUCGGGUAUCGCCGAACCCGAAGCUGCCGGAGGAGCACUUGCUGGCGGGGGGGAAUGCCGCCAUCGGAACCGCCGCUAUACCCUCACCCUCAGCCACAUCAGGCGCGUGCAUCGGGGGUGCGGGCGGGUAACGACCUCCAGUCGCCAUCGCAGCCACCGCUGCCAUUUGCCGCUCCAAGAGCUCCUGGAGCCGCUCAAAUCGGGUCUCCUGGCACUGCACCACAUUGGUCAAUGCGGUCACUUGCGCCCGUAACUCCUGCACCUCGCUAGGCCCAGCUGACCCUGGCGCCUGGGGAGGUCCAGCCUGCUCUGACACCUCCGAAGACGGUGCCGGAACAGAUCUGCGCGUGUAGCGUCUUGGGGACACUAGUUCCUGCAACGCAAUAACCGGGUUAAUUAACUUAACCCACCAACUCGCUCGCGAUCACAACUACGCGACUCAACGUCGCAAACUAGGCGGAAGCACGUAAGUGUACUCAUUCUAGACUCUCGGCGUCAUGUUGUCGGCCGCCCAACACUACCACUUCGAGCCAAGAACUCAUACCACUUGAAUCCAUCUCUAGCCACGACUAGAGACAUACAAUCACUUCGACCCAAUCGAUCAACUCCCGCCACCGUAUAGGUCCACGUUCCACUCACGCACCUAUAACCUUACGGUUUCCCAACCUAAGGGUCCUCUAGGUCAAUCCUAGACUCUCUCUCUUUACUUGCUCUUAACUUGCUCUGAUACCACUUUUAUCUGUCACGCCCCGAAACCGAUACCAAUUUGGUCCAGUUCCGGGCGCGUCGAACAGACGCCGGAACGGACAGCACCUCCCCUGUCCGCCCAAGGCUAAACAACGAGAUUGUGUACAACAAGUCCCCAGAAAAAUCAACUUGAAUACAUACACAAUCGAUAACUAACAAUAGCGAGAGGCACAAUCCAGUGCCGAACACUUACAAGAGCAAGCAUCACAAGUGUAAACAAGUGAAUAAAAGAGAGAUAUAGCUAUCUAUUACCUCACAUUUGACAUUCAACAUUUACCUCCAUUCAACUUUUAAUACAACUUGAUUACAUUUAAGCUUCCAAAAUGAAUACAUAAUCAUAUCACAUAUAUAUAUAAUGCUAGCUAUCCAAAAUACAUCAUGUCAUCUAUAACCAUGCACACGAGGGUGCUCUAGUACAAUAGGAAAGCUCUACUAGCUAGCUAGGGCGCUACGCCCUUACCGCGAUCACCUGCCGGCCCGCUCACGUGUGUACCUGUACCCCAAAACCACACGGGGUGAGAACUAUAUAAAUAUAGUUCCCAGUGGGUUCGGCCGCCGACUCCGCCGAUCUUCCCACUAGGUCUAAGCUGGCACAGAUAGAUAGAUAGAGAGAUAGAUAUAUGAAAAUAAACUGCUACUAUAUCUAUUGUGCCACCAAAUGCAAGGAAUGCAUGAAAUAUCAACAUCAUAAGCCUUAUCAUGCUAGUAUGCUUCAACGAUGUAAUGAAUACAAAUACGACAUAGUUAUGCAAUCCACUAACAUAUACUAUGUCUAAUCAGGGUAUGAAUGCAAAUCCACUUAUGCUAUUCAUGUCAUUACCCAAUCCACUAGGCUACCCCGCCCUUGUCUCAAAUCACGUAGGUGAAGGACUACCCCGCCCUUGUUUCACCCGUCCCACAACUCUAACACUAUAGGUAAAGAGCUACCCCGCUCCACGCCCAACUCAUGACUCAAAUGCCUAAGGGCAUGAGCUACCCCGCUCUUCGCUCCGACUCUAACUCAAACUCAUAGGUCAAGAGCUACCCCGCUCAUAGGUCAAGAGCUACCCCGCUCAUAGGUAAAGAGCUACCCCGCUCAAAGGUCAAGAGCUACCCCGCUCGUAGGUAAAGAGCUACCCCGCUCAAAGGUCAAGAGCUACCCCGCUCGUAGGUAAAGAGCUACCCCGCUCAUAGGUAAAGAGCUACCCCGCUCGUAGGUAAAGAGCUACCCUGCUCAUAGGUAAAGAGCUACCCCGCUCAAAUCUCACAGGAGAAGAGCUACCCCGCCCUUCGCCCGACUCACUUCCCAAUCCAAUGGGUGGGGAGCUACCCCGCUCGUAUCCCACCCAAUGAGCUACCCCGCUCGUGUGACAACUGAGGAUACCCUGUCAACUAGGUUAACCAUCACUUGAUAUUCCACCUAUCCCUAGGUCCAUGUCAAGUGUUUCAACCAUAUCAAAUCUCAAUGCCACUCACCUAGGUCUAAGCAACUCUAGGUUCCACAACACUAGGUUUAGAUGCCACAUAAUCUCCAUAAUUAACAAUAGGUUAACCUUCAUUUCAUCUAGCAUAUAUGUUCUAUAAGGCCAACAUGCAUCAUAAUGCUAAUAUGCCAUAAUCAACUAGCAUGCAAUCCAUUCAUAAUGCUACGUGCAUACAAUCUCCAUUACACUAGUUCACAUGUCACUAGUUUCAUUGUCAAGUCCAAGUUCUUUAUUCUCUUAUCAUCAUAGGAUCUCAUGUCUCAACCUUAAUCAUCAUGCAUUCUAGAUUUAAGUGUCAAGUCUAUAAUACUACACAACUAGACAUGCAUUCAAGGAAAGUAGAAAUGUAACUAUACAUAUAUCCUAUAAUGCAUAAGAACCAUAUAUAUGAAAUAUGAUCAACUAUUUUACUCGGACAUAGAAGGAAGCCCGAUUGCUUCGGAUAGACACCCCCCACCUUUUAUCGCGUACCGAUUGCUCGUCGUCACUCGCAAUCGGCCUCCCGCGGCACACGCCGCUCGGCUUGACCCAAUCCGCGCGCGACCGCCAAACGACCUCCGAUCCGCGAUCCGAAAAUUAAAGGUCUUCGGUUUUCUAUUACGAUGCUUCAAAUCCGUUUCCAGGACUUUACGACGUCGCCUCGGCCCUCUAGGCGGAAACGAAGCCUAAACGCCCGUUUCUUUAAUAACUUUGUACCGGCUCAACGAAUCGCCGAACUGUCGCUUCCAACGCGUUCAGUGACCUAGCAAUUAGGUUUACGGAGGGUCAAAUUAGAUCAUACCCUCAUAUUUUCAAAAUUAGCAUUUUUGAGCCCUAACAUGCAAUUACCCCCAAAUAAUCCAAAUUAAAUGGAGCAAUAUGCUAAUAAUGAUCAUUAGAGGCUACUAGAACCCUUAAAGCUAAGGAUUAAGCCAAAUCCCAAAAGCUUACCCCAAUAUGAACGCCGCAACGAAAACACGUCGCUCCAAC